GGGGGAAAUGGGGAAUUGGGGGAAAUUGGGGGGGAAAUGGGGGGAAUUUUGCCCCCAAUUUUGCCCCAUUUCCCCUCCAUUUUGCCCCAUUUCUGCCCAUUUUCCCCAAUUCCCACCUCUUUUGGCCCUUUUUUGCCCAAUUCUGCCCCUAUUUCGCCCAUUUCUGCCCCAUUUUCCCCCCAUUUCUGCCCAUUUCUGCCCAUUUUUUCACCCAUUUUUCCCCCAUUUCCCCCAAUUUCACCCCAAUAUUCCUCUCUGCUGUCCAUUCUGACCCCCAUUUCCCCCCAAUUCUGCCCCAUUUCCCCCCAGUUUUGCCCCAUCCCCCCCCCACUUCCACCCCACUCCCUCCUCCCACUGUAUCCCCCUAUGGGACCCAUCCCCAUUUAGGGUCCAAAAGGUGGGAUUUUGGGGCCCAAAAAGUGGCAUUUUGGGUCAUUUUGGGUCGAAAAAGGGUCAUUUUGGGUCCUGGCAGAGUACGUGGAGCACCUGAAGGCGGAGGGCUGCGGCUGCAGCGCCCCCUACAGGCGCGGAGGUCCCCAUUCUGCCCCCAUUUGCCCCCAUUUCUGCCCCAUUUUCCCCCCCAUUUCUGCCCAUUUUUCACCCAUUUUUCCCCCAUUUCCCCCAAUUUCACCCCAAUAUUCCCCUCUGCUGUCCAUUCUGACCCCCAUUUCCCCCCAGUUCUGCCCCAUUUCCACCCCAAUAUCCCCCCCCCCCCCCCCCCUCCCCUUCGCUCCCU
This 736-nucleotide long non-coding RNA is filed under the name Gallus gallus (chicken). Its description in RNAcentral is "lncRNA (ENSGALG00010000463.1)". The record is from RNAcentral. Lineage: Eukaryota; Metazoa; Chordata; Aves; Galliformes; Phasianidae.